RNAcentral lists this long non-coding RNA (1291 nucleotides) under Linum usitatissimum (flax). RNAcentral's name for it is "long non-coding RNA (LUSI_LNC007764)". Lineage: Eukaryota; Viridiplantae; Streptophyta; Magnoliopsida; Malpighiales; Linaceae. The record is from RNAcentral.
CCCAAGUCAACCGGCGUCGUUAAAUCCGACAGUCAACUGACGAUGACGAAGAAGCCUUACAGUGGGGGCUUCGAAACCAACAUCAUCUUCAACAACAGUUGCGGGCAGGUACGCAUAGAUCCAAGGUAAAAGUACCUACUUUUCCCAGGAUUAGGUGUUGUCUCAAUGGUACUGGAACUUGGUAUGAAUGGGUGGAGUAGUCAUUGAUUAGGCAAUUUGACUCUCCAAGGAAAAAAUUAGUGUUUGAGAUGAUUGUUUUCGUUGUUAUUUGAAUGAAUGUGUAUGGUGCUGGUUUCCUUUCUUGUCAUGCAUUGUCUUCCCCCUUGCCAAUUAUCCCCUCCCGAAACCAAUCAAGUGCUUUGCUUAAUGCAAAGAAAAGCUCAUAAAGUUGUUGUCCCAACCACGAUUAUCAAAUCACCUCUUUAAUCCAUGUUCUUAACGAUCAUUCCCCCCUUUCUCCUGUUCUCUCUGCUUUAACUUGUAACUAGUUGAGCUUUUUCAUAAUUGCUUAUGGUUGAUGUGGAGGAAUUAAAACAGGGGUAGACACUCAUUUGCUGGACUUUGUCCCAUCAUGCUAGCUAAGUGGAUUCUUGAGUCUAAUGGAUUGAAUACUGAUGAAUAACUGAAUCAGACUCAGUUUUCCAAGGGUGGUUGACCCUCAAUAUGGUGAAUCCGGUAGUUUGGUUAUAGUUUGUUUUCUGAUCAUAGCAAAUUUAUAUCAUCACAACAUAGUAGUAGCCGAUCUCCUUGUCUUGGCAAUGCCUCCAGACAUACCCUUUUAUCCAAAGGGAAAACUAAGUUAACAAAUCCCUGUACUGUAUGCUGGUAUUUUUCAUUCUGUGAUUGCGAUUCAUUAUCUACACAUCAAACAUUAUCUCCUUGAAUCAUGCUCAUCUCUGACAUUAGUGUUUAGUCCCUUAACAGAUUGAGCUCAACUAGAAGAGGAGUUAAAUGGAAAAGAAGUGUUCUUGUGGACAAACUGAAAGGGGGGAGAAAUGGGUUCUUUGUACAAAAAGAAUUUGGUUGUCAUCAUGUUCUGCAAUUAUUAAGCCAAGAUUGGGGAAAGUGGGAUGAACUUUGUGGGUUUGUUUUUAUGGUCACAUGGCUUUGUUUAACACUAAAUGCAUGCGUGGAACUAUUCUCUGCCUUAACUUUUAAUCCUGUUAAAAAUCUUGUCAGCUUAAUCACACACAUCAUAGGUUGAAGGAGAAGAUUCGCUCUGAUUUUGCUCUAGGGACAGGUCUGUGUGUGAGGACAUUUCGUUCGAUAGCCGUAUGCUACUAGUAUUUCC